AUACUCACCUGGUAGAGAAGAUAACGUUCUGAGAGUAGUUUUGCCAGAACGAGGCUAUUCCAUUACACUCCCCACGUACUGAUCCUUGCGUUUUCUCCAAAUGUGUGGAAUUUGACUGCAUAGCUUGUGGUAGUGGGGGACUGCGUUAGUGUUUUCCGCUG
Small nuclear RNA from Cercocebus atys (sooty mangabey), 161 nucleotides. Its record names the gene U1. It matches the Rfam family "U1 spliceosomal RNA". From Rfam's summary of the family: U1 is a small nuclear RNA (snRNA) component of the spliceosome (involved in pre-mRNA splicing). Its 5' end forms complementary base pairs with the 5' splice junction, thus defining the 5' donor site of an intron. The record is from Ensembl. NCBI's taxonomy places the organism in Eukaryota, Metazoa, Chordata, Mammalia, Primates, Cercopithecidae.